GAACGGUAACAGGUCUUCGGAUGCUGACGAGUGGCGAACGGGCGAGUAAUACAUCGGAACGUGCCUAGUAGUGGGGGAUAACUACUCGAAAGAGUGGCUAAUACCGCAUGAGAUCUACGGAUGAAAGCAGGGGAUCGCAAGACCUUGUGCUACUAGAGCGGCCGAUGGCAGAUUAGGUAGUUGGUGGGAUAAAAGCUUACCAAGCCGACGAUCUGUAGCUGGUCUGAGAGGACGAUCAGCCACACUGGGACUGAGACACGGCCCAGACUCCUACGGGAGGCAGCAGUGGGGAAUUUUGGACAAUGGGCGCAAGCCUGAUCCAGCAAUGCCGCGUGCAGGAUGAAGGCCUUCGGGUUGUAAACUGCUUUUGUACGGAACGAAAAGCCCUGGGUUAAUACCCUGGGGUCAUGACGGUACCGUAAGAAUAAGCACCGGCUAACUACGUGCCAGCAGCCGCGGUAAUACGUAGGGUGCGAGCGUUAAUCGGAAUUACUGGGCGUAAAGCGUGCGCAGGCGGUUUUGUAAGACAGAGGUGAAAUCCCCGGGCUCAACCUGGGAACUGCCUUUGUGACUGCAAGGCU
Molecule: ribosomal RNA, 581 nt
Filed under: uncultured bacterium
Lineage: Bacteria
Description: bacterial SSU rRNA
Rfam family: Bacterial small subunit ribosomal RNA
Source: RNAcentral